CAGUAGCCGCGGUAAUACGGAGGGUGCAAGCGUUAAUCGGAAUUACUGGGCGUAAAGCGCACGCAGGCGGUCUGUCAAGUCAGAUGUGAAAUCCCCGGGCUUAACCUGGGAACUGCAUUUGAAACUGGCAGGCUAGAGUCUUGUAGAGGGGGGUAGAAUUCCAGGUGUAGCGGUGAAAUGCGUAGAGAUCUGGAGGAAUACCGGUGGCGAAGGCGGCCCCCUGGACAAAGACUGACGCUCAGGUGCGAAAGCGUGGGGAGCAAACAGGAUUAGAUACCCCGGUAGUCCCUGUCUCUUAUAU
RNAcentral lists this ribosomal RNA (301 nucleotides) under uncultured bacterium. RNAcentral describes it as "partial 16S ribosomal RNA". It matches the Rfam family "Bacterial small subunit ribosomal RNA", at positions 509 to 809 of the family's 1533-position model. The record is from RNAcentral.